This 253-nucleotide ribosomal RNA is filed under the name uncultured bacterium. RNAcentral's name for it is "partial 16S ribosomal RNA". It matches the Rfam family "Bacterial small subunit ribosomal RNA", at positions 524 to 776 of the family's 1533-position model. The record is from RNAcentral.
UACAGAGGGUGCGAGCGUUAAUCGGAAUUACUGGGCGUAAAGCGCACGUAGGCGGCUUGGUAUGUCGGGUGUGAAAUCCCCGGGCUCAACCUGGGAACUGCAUCCGAAACUGCCUUGCUAGAGUAUGGGAGAGGGAAGUGGAAUUUCUGGUGUAGCGGUGAAAUGCGUAGAUAUCAGAAGGAACAUCAGUGGCGAAAGCGGCUUCCUGGUCCAGUACCGACGUUCAGGCACGAAAGCGUGGGGAGCAAACAGG